GACAGAGGUCCCGAGCGUUAGGCGGAAUCACUGGGCUUAAAGCGUGUGUAGGCGGACUUGUAAGUACCUUGUGAAAUCCCACGGCUUAACCGUGGAACUGGUCGGUAUACUGCGAGUCUUGAGCCACUUAGGGGCUACCGGAACAAAUGGUGGAGCGGUGAAAUGCGUAGAUAUCAUUUGGAACGCCAAUGGUGAAAACAGGUAGCUGGGAGUGUGCUGACGCUGAGACACGAAAGCCAGGGGAGCAAACGGG
This 253-nucleotide ribosomal RNA is filed under the name uncultured bacterium. Its description in RNAcentral is "partial 16S ribosomal RNA". It matches the Rfam family "Bacterial small subunit ribosomal RNA", at positions 524 to 776 of the family's 1533-position model. The record is from RNAcentral.